This 76-nucleotide transfer RNA is filed under the name candidate division WWE3 bacterium RIFOXYA1_FULL_40_11. Its description in RNAcentral is "tRNA-Ile". It matches the Rfam family "tRNA". Rfam says of the family: Transfer RNA (tRNA) molecules are approximately 80 nucleotides in length. Their secondary structure includes four short double-helical elements and three loops (D, anti-codon, and T loops). Further hydrogen bonds mediate the characteristic L-shaped molecular structure. tRNAs have two regions of fundamental functional importance: the anti-codon, which is responsible for specific mRNA codon recognition, and the 3' end, to which the tRNAs corresponding amino acid is attached (by aminoacyl-tRNA synthetases). tRNAs cope with the degeneracy of the genetic code in two manners: having more than one tRNA (with a specific anti-codon) for a particular amino acid; and 'wobble' base-pairing, i.e. permitting non-standard base-pairing at the 3rd anti-codon position. Lineage: Bacteria; candidate division WWE3. The record is from RNAcentral. RNAcentral also lists the same sequence under 8 other names.
GGGUGUUUAGCUCAGUUGGUAGAGCAGACGUCUUAUACACGUCCGGUCCCAGGUUCGAGCCCUGGAACACCCACCA